Small nucleolar RNA from Magnolia sinica, 107 nucleotides. The record is from RefSeq and is a predicted model, not a curated record. NCBI's taxonomy places the organism in Eukaryota, Viridiplantae, Streptophyta, Magnoliopsida, Magnoliales, Magnoliaceae.
AAACCGUGUUGUGGGCAUGAACUGACAAGAUCCUUGAACUGCUCUUAACAUUAAAAGAAUGUUUCAUCUUCCUUUUUUGCGAAGUUCAUGAUCGACUUCCUGAUGGU